UCACAGAAUGUUUUAUCUGGGUUUAUUCCCGGGUUUUAGAUAUUUGUUCCAGAUUGGUCAGUUCCUUAAAAAAAAGGUGACACUUGAGUAGAAGGCAAAAACUUUGUCCUAGGAAGAGGAACUUCGUCCUUCACCUGUUUAAUGAAGUUUGAGCCAGAAAAAUGAAGUUCUUGGGGUGCAACAAGUACUUUCACAUUAAGUAGUACACAAUGACACAGGAACAGACACUUUCAAACCAGGAACAGAAUGUCAUCAUUACUGUAAUUAGUCAGACCUUGUUGUAUGGCCAUAUGUGCAAACAGAUUUCAUGGUGUACUUGUGCCAGGGAAAAACAGGAUGAUGUUGCGGAGUUAUACAUGUUGGUUUCUCAUUGGGUGUAUGCUGACAACAUGGGUACAGUUUAGUAAAUGGCAAAAAUUUACUACUGGCUGGUGGGACAUGGAUGUGCUGGAGAGGAAUGUAAAUACUGAGAGCCAAGGUCAUGCAGGUGGCUAAUACAAACAGCCAUGUAUAACCUAGUAACAGCACCCUGUAGUUCAAUGCCACAAGUACACAACCAAAUUUUUCUGGAUAGAUGGCCAGGCAGCUAGGCUGUAAAAAUAGUCGAAAAUCACAAAGCGCUGGCUGAAAAGUGUGUGUUCCUGUUUGAUUGUGUACUGCUGACUUGGGCAGAAGUGGUCCUACCUCACGAGGCUUGUUUGUGUGGGGUAUACUCCAUGAAACAUCUGGAGGACAGUUUUUCUGGCCAGGACAAAGAACAAAACUUUUGUAGAAAUCCUCAUAUCUAUAUACAGUAGAGUCUCACUUAUCCAACACUCGCUUAUCCAACGUUCUGGGUUAUCCAACGUAUUUUUGUAGUCAAUGUUUUCAAUACAUCGUGAUAUUUUGGUGUUAAAUUCGUAAAUACAGUAAUUACUACAUAGCAUUACUGUAUAUUGAACUACUUUUUCUGUCAGAUUUGUUGUAUAAGAUGAUGUUUUGGUGCUUAAUUUGUAAAAUCAUAACCUAAUUUGAUAUUUAAUAAGCUUUUCCUUAAUCCCUCCUUAUUAUCCAACAUAUUCGCUUAUCCAACGUUCUGCCGGCCCGUUUAUGUUGGAUAAGUGAGACUCUACUGUAUUUGCAUCCCAAGGCUUAAAAAAAAAGUUGCUGAGGUUUCUGGAGGAAGUCUCUUGUCGGCCAUCUUGGGAGCCUCUAAAUCUUCGAACAAAGCAGCAGGUCUGGACAACGGAGGCAGAAAUUCCAGAACAGAUUUGGUAGAGCAACUACCAUAUCGAUAUGGAUUCAGAAAGGGACCAUCGCGGGAGCCUGGAGCCCCUUUGUUACCAUAAGAAUGCAGUUCCGAACCAGUGCUGCCCAUUCCGUUGCUAAGGUGGGGCAACUACCCGAUGUAUGUACAUGGAUUCAGAAAGGGACCAUCGCUUCCCUGGAGCCUGUUGUGCCUUUGUUUUCACCGUUGCCAUAAGAAUGCAGUUCUGAAUCAGAUCAGUGCUGCCCAUUCCGUUGGUGACGCAGAAGAGAUAGGCAGUUGCUUUAGUUCUUCUGUUGAAGAAGGAACAUUUCAUCUUGCCCAGAUAGCCUUGAGAAGAUUGGUCAAAAACAUCUGGAAGUUAUGUGGAAACUGUUUGACUUGCUGUUGGAGGAGGAGGUCAAUCAAAGUAUACCCCAUAAGGAAAGCCCUUCAUCUUUCUAUUCAGUACUCUGCAAUAAGCUCAAGAGUCCUCCUCCUCCUCCGUGAACAGCACAUUGGACACUUGGGCAAGGAAGGAAAGGCAGGAGCUUUGUACUUCUGUGAAGAGAGGGGAUACAGCAUUUCUGGAUGGUAUCAGCUUUGCAGCGGGGCCGGGACGAAAGGAGUGAGGGCCCCAUUUGAGAGGAGUCGUACAAAUCCUGAUGCACCCUGACUAGGGGAGGAGACAAUGACAGUAUGGACGCAUUUUGGAGGCAGCUUUCCCAGGCAUUGUGGUAACUUCUCACUUUUUGGGGCGCACCCAGACAGCAUCUAAAAUGCACACCUUCCCGUAUUUUUCCCUGGGGCGUCCAAAGAACUCCUCAGCGAACCAACACCACUGGAGUUAGAGGAUUUGGAGUAUGUCAAGGGUGGGGUAACUACCCGAUGUAUGUACAUGGAUUCAGAAAGGGACCAUAGCUUCCCUGGAGCCUGGUGUGCCUUUGUUUACACCGUUGCCAUGAGAAUGCCGUUCUGAAUCAGAUCAGUGCUGCCCAUUCCGUUGGUGACGCAGAAGAGAUAGGCAGUUGCUUUAGUUAUUCUGUUGAAGAAGGAACAUUUCAUCUUGCCCAGAUAGCCUUGAGAAGAUUGGUCAAAAACAUCUGGAAGUUAUGUGGAAACUGUUUGACUUGCUGUUGGAGGAGGAGGUCGAUCAAAGUAUACCCCAUAAGGAAAGCCCUUCCUCUUUCUAUUCAGGUUGCUUUUCUUACAUGAAGAAAUCAGUAUCCCAAGUGUUUGGGAAUUAAGCCCAUUCUUGUUUGAGGAAUUUCUUGUAAUAUCCCAUGGCUUUGUUUCCAGAAUUUUUAAGGCCUUUUGACAUAUCCACUACCUUUGAUAGUAGGACCCUUCGUGAGUGUCACAUUUCCAACAUUUAUUAUUUUCACCUUCAUACUUUUUAUAUGGGGGGAAGGGAUUAAAUAUCAUUUUAUUUCAUUGAGUAAACCUUUAUCCCUUUUGCUUCAUUUUCUGCAUUUCUCCAAUUCCAUAUUAUAGGCAGAAUUCUGAAUUUGAUUCUUGAAUAUUUCUCCCAAGGUUAAUGUCUUUUAUGAGGAGCAUUGAAAGACUAUUACUCAUAAAGGACAUUAAUUCACUGGUUCUUUACUAAGCAUCCUGUAGUAAACCUUGAUCCCCCUACCCUGUACUGCUGCAUUUAGUCCAUCCACCCACAGGGUUGUUGCUCACAUUUUGCUGUUUUGUUUUAUCCUCUAGUACUCUGCAAUAAGCUCAAGAGUCCUCCUCCUCCUCCUCCUCCUCCUCCUCCUCCUCCUCCGUGAACAGCACAUUGGACACUUGGGCAAGGAAGGAAAGGCAGGAGCUUUGUACUUCUGUGAAGAGAGGGGAUACAGUCAGAGGCGGUUCAACUACCAGGCCAACUAGGCAGUUAGCUGUGGCACCAUCUUGUUGGGGGCGCCAUCAAGGCAACUCCUGUCUCCUGCGGCCUGCCUCCGCAAGUGCACCCUGACUAGGGGAGGAGACAAUGACAGUAUGGACGCAUUUUGGAGGCAGCUUUCCCAGGAAUUGUGGUAACUUCUCACGUUUUGGGUGAGUGUUGAGUCUUCUUGUUGAGCUGGAUACAUCUUUGGUUUUAUGUUCUUACACAUGCUUUUUUUUGUUUCUCUUAGGGCGCACCCAGACAGCACCUAAAAUACACACCUUCCUGUGUUUUUCCCUGGGGCGUCCAAAGAACUCCUCAGCGAACCAACACCACUGGAGAUAGAGGAUUUGGAGUAUGUGAAGGGACUAUGGUGAAAGAAGAACCGAAGAGGAGGACGAAGAAAACGGGGGCGCCAUGUCAUGCAGCCAGAUCCCAGGGCUGAAUUUCCAAGCCCUGAAUCUGACUUCAUAACAUAAACAUGCGAGCACCUGGCGGGAGAAGAUAAAAUGAGCCUGGGAACUCAGGGGUGAAAGUAUAAACAAUUAUAAUUGCUGUAGUGUGGGGGGGGGAUAGAAACCUUGGUGGAAAUGUGAUCCAGAAGGUGGGGUUUGAUGAUGAUAUUUGCGUGUGAUAUUACGUUGCAUCAGAAGUGAUAAAAUUAGAUGUAUGUAAACAUUAGGUCAUUCUCGACUUUUCCAAAGUCAUGUAUUCUUCAAUAAAGAUUGUGUUUGAGAGCAGCUGUC
RNA transcript from Anolis carolinensis (green anole), 3844 nucleotides. RefSeq lists it as uncharacterized. The transcript is spliced from 13 exons. NCBI's taxonomy places the organism in Eukaryota, Metazoa, Chordata, Lepidosauria, Squamata, Anolidae. The record is from RefSeq and is a predicted model, not a curated record.